This 445-nucleotide ribosomal RNA is filed under the name uncultured bacterium. Its description in RNAcentral is "partial 16S ribosomal RNA". It matches the Rfam family "Bacterial small subunit ribosomal RNA", at positions 354 to 796 of the family's 1533-position model. The record is from RNAcentral.
GUAGGGAAUAUUGGGCAAUGGAUGCAAGUCUGACCCAGCCAUCCCGCGUGCCGGAAGAAGGCCCUCAGGGUUGUAAACGGCUUUUGACGGUGAAGAAUAGGCGGGAUGCGUCCUGUUUUGACGGUAGCCGUUGAAUAAGCACCGGCUAACUCCGUGCCAGCAGCCGCGGUAAUACGGAGGGUGCGAGCGUUGUCCGGAUUUAUUGGGUUUAAAGGGUGCGUAGGCUGGGAGGUAAGUCAGCGGUGAAAAGCACACGCUUAACGGGUGUCUUGCCGCAGAUACUACUUUUCUUGGAUGAGGAGGAGGUCACUGGAACGGAUGGUGUAGCGGUGAAAUGCAUAGAUAUCAUCCAGAACACCGAUUGCGAAGGCAGGUGACUGUACCUUAAUCGACGCUGAGGCACGAAAGCGUGGGGAGCGAACAGGAUUAGAAACCCCUGUAGUCC